Molecule: ribosomal RNA, 511 nt
Filed under: bacterium enrichment culture clone OZDCA222
Lineage: Bacteria
Description: bacterial SSU rRNA
Rfam family: Bacterial small subunit ribosomal RNA
Source: RNAcentral
GAGUUUGAUCCUGGCUCAGGACGAACGCUGGCGGCGUGCCUAACACAUGCAAGUCGAACGGAGAACUCAAAAAGCUUGCUUUGAGAGUUCUUAGUGGCGGACGGGUGAGUAACGCGUGGGCAACCUCCCCCUUAAACCGGGACAACCCUUGGAAACGAGGGCUAAUACCGGAUACACUUUUCUGAGGACAUCCUCGGGAAAGGAAAGGCGGCCUCUGAAGAUGCUGCCGAUAAGGGGUGGACCCGCGUCUGAUUAGCUGGUUGGUGGGGUAAAGGCCUACCAAGGCGACGAUCAGUAGCCGGCCUGAGAGAGUGAACGGCCACACUGGGACUGAGACACGGCCCAGACUCCUACGGGAGGCAGCAGUGGGGAAUCUUCCGCAAUGGACGAAAGUCUGACGGAGCAACGCCGCGUGUAUGACGAAGGCCUUCGGGUUGUAAAGUACUGUCUUUAGGGACGAACGGUAGUCUAUGUGAACAAUAGUAGGUACAUGACGGUACCUAAGGAGGAA